CAAAGAUCAAUUCGGAACUCUGAGAAGUGUGAUGAGGUCAGGCUCAUCAUAAUGUCUGAGAGCACAGAACUGUGGGUUUUACCUCUCUCAUCCAUAUUUUUGCUUCUAGUGCUAACAGCCAGCAGAAUAGGCAACUUGCUGGGCCAGUGGCCUGAUCUUCUAUGUCAAC
This is a long non-coding RNA of Gymnogyps californianus (California condor), 169 nucleotides long. RefSeq lists it as uncharacterized. The transcript is spliced from 3 exons. The record is from RefSeq and is a predicted model, not a curated record. Lineage: Eukaryota; Metazoa; Chordata; Aves; Accipitriformes; Cathartidae.